RNAcentral lists this ribosomal RNA (467 nucleotides) under uncultured bacterium. RNAcentral describes it as "partial 16S ribosomal RNA". It matches the Rfam family "Bacterial small subunit ribosomal RNA", at positions 28 to 507 of the family's 1533-position model. The record is from RNAcentral.
GACGAACGCUGGCGGCGUGCUUAACACAUGCAAGUCGAACGGAAAGGCCUCUUUCGUGUGGUACUCGAGUGGCGAACGGGUGAGUAACACAUGAGUAUACUGCCCUUGACUUUGUGAUAACUUCAGGAAACUGGGGCUAAUACCGGAGAUGAGCGCCUGCUGCAUGUUGGGGGUUGUGGAGUUUCGGGGGUUGGGGGUUGACUCGCGGCUCAUAAGCUUGUUGGUGGGGGGUUGGGUUAACAAGGGUUUGGCGGGUAGCCGGCCUGGGAGGGGGGCCGGGCACAUUGGGAAUGAGAUACGGCCCAGACUCCUAAGGGAGGCAGGAAGGGGGAAUAUUGCACAAUGGGUGGAAGCCCGAUGGAGCAAAGCCGGGGUCGGGAUGACGGCCUUUGGGGUGGAAAACGGUUUCGCUUAUGACGAAGCUUUGUGUGACGGUAAUGGGUAAAGAAGCACCGGCUAACUACGUG